This is a long non-coding RNA of Gasterosteus aculeatus (three-spined stickleback), 1179 nucleotides long. Lineage: Eukaryota; Metazoa; Chordata; Actinopteri; Perciformes; Gasterosteidae. The record is from Ensembl.
UUCUUCAUCAAAGCAGCAGAGGGAGCCUCAAUGCGUCCUGAUGUCCCCUCCAGCUGAUCAGACAGCUGUUCUCUAUCAAAUUACAGAAGUAAUAACAACAAACAGGACAACAAGGAGCACUUCAGUUUAUCACGUUCCAACACAUCUAGAGGAAUCCUUGUUUGACACAAGUGACCCGGACCUCAGCUGGAGCUGGACCCUCCAGGUGCGCGCUGACGAGCCCGAGGAGCGUGCGUGCCGCUGGUCGGAGUCACGCGCACAGGUGAGCUCGGCAUCGUGCGUCCGGGACAGAGUGCGCGGGCUGUACGUGCGCGUGCGCGGCGCGGAUCUCCUCCUCGCGGCCACACCGAGGAAGUCGUGUCCCGAACUUCUCCCCCUUUUUCUCCCCGUUUUCUCCCCGCUGCUUCCGGGCCGCUCGGCUGCGGAGCUCCACGAGGACCCGGUGCCCCGGAGACCGGCAGCUCCGCGCGGGAGAGAGAGCGCGUUUCCACGGCAACACGCGGAGGACAGAACUGCGUUUCUAUGAAAGUAGCUGCUGUUCCUGAUCAGUCCACUGGGGGCGCUGUGAGCGAGCGCAUCAAGGCAACGCCGCCAUAUCGCCUGCUAUCGAAAUAAGUCCUGCUCAGUCCACUACGGGACCUAACGGAACUCUUCCAGUCUUUAAGCUAAGCUAAGUUAGCUAGUUCCUCCCUCUGCUUCCAGCCUUUUAGCUGUGAUGGGGGACCCUGACCCCUCCAGCCCCCCCUCCACAGAGAGGUCCAGUGUCCUGCCAAGGAGAGCAAGAGCACUGCCACCGAGAGAGAGACAGGGGGACAGAGAGACAGACAGAGAGAGACGGGGGGACAGAGAGACGGACAGACAGAGAGAGACAGGGGGACAGAGAGACAGACAGAGAGAGACGGGGGGACAGAGAGAGAGACAGAGAGAGACGGGGGGGCAGAGAGAGAGACAGAGAGAGACGGGGGGGGCAGAGAGACAGACAGAGACAGGGGGGCAGAGAGGUCUGGUCUCCAUAUUGUAGUUUGGGGGUGAAAAGUUCACUCUUAUUUUUGGAAUCUAUAAAUAUCCUGGAGGAGGAGAGGAGGGAGCAGAGGAGGGAGGAUAGGAGGGAGGAGGGAGCAGAGGAGGGAGGAUAGGAGGGAGGAGGUAGCAGAGGAGGGAGGGAGGAGGGAGGAGGGA